Molecule: small nucleolar RNA, 216 nt
Organism: Myxocyprinus asiaticus (Chinese sucker)
Lineage: Eukaryota; Metazoa; Chordata; Actinopteri; Cypriniformes; Catostomidae
Product: small nucleolar RNA U3
Exons: 1
Source: RefSeq, a predicted model, not a curated record
AAGACUAUACUUUCAGGGAUCAUUUCUAUAGUUUCUAACUAGGAAAUGUGUUUCGAAAGUGUUUAGUCUCUCAGACCACGAUGAAGAGUAUUGAUACUUCUUUCUGAACGUGAAUCGAACACUGAGUAAUGAUUUAUUUCAUAAGCUCUGUGUUAUUGAUGAACGUUCCUCAGUGCAUUCAGCAACUGUGGAGGAAAGGAGUAUGAGCGGAGUGGU